Molecule: ribosomal RNA, 748 nt
Filed under: Pseudomonas plecoglossicida
Lineage: Bacteria; Pseudomonadati; Pseudomonadota; Gammaproteobacteria; Pseudomonadales; Pseudomonadaceae
Description: bacterial SSU rRNA
Rfam family: Bacterial small subunit ribosomal RNA
Source: RNAcentral
GUUUGAUCCUGGCUCAGAUUGAACGCUGGCGGCAGGCCUAACACAUGCAAGUCGAGCGGAUGACGGGAGCUUGCUCCUUGAUUCAGCGGCGGACGGGUGAGUAAUGCCUAGGAAUCUGCCUGGUAGUGGGGGACAACGUUUCGAAAGGAACGCUAAUACCGCAUACGUCCUACGGGAGAAAGCAGGGGACCUUCGGGCCUUGCGCUAUCAGAUGAGCCUAGGUCGGAUUAGCUAGUUGGUGGGGUAAUGGCUCACCAAGGCGACGAUCCGUAACUGGUCUGAGAGGAUGAUCAGUCACACUGGAUCUGAGACACGGUCCAGACUCCUACGGGAGGCAGCAGUGGGGAAUAUUGGACAAUGGGCGAAAGCCUGAUCCAGCCAUGCCGCGUGUGUGAAGAAGGUCUUCGGAUUGUAAAGCACUUAAAGUUGGGAGGAAGGGCAGUAAGUUAAUACCUUGCUGUAAUGACGUUACCGACAGAAUAAGCACCGGCUAACUCUGUGCCAGCAGCCGCGGUAAUACAGAGGGUGCAAGCGUUAAUCGGAAUUACUGGGCGUAAAGCGCGCGUAGGUGGUUUGUAAAGUUGGAUGUGAAAGCCCCGGGCUCAACCUGGGAACUGCAUCCAAAACUGGCAAGCUAGAGUACGGUAGAGGGUGGUGGAAUAUCCUGUGUAGCGGUGAAAUGCGUAGAUAUAGGAAGGAACACCAGUGGCGAAGGCGACCACCUGGACUGAUACUGACACUGAGGUGC